CUCUCUUUUAUUCAUAUUUGGAUAUGGAUGUCUCUUCUUCUCUUUGUCUAAAAGUUAGAUAAAAUUUCUACAUCUCUAUUGUAGAGAUUUGGUGUAUGAAUUUUAGGAAGAAAAUAGAAGAAAGGAUUCUUCUCAUGAUCUCUAGUGUAGGGAUCAAGAUCCUUCUAUGUUCUUCUUCUUCUCUAAGAGUGUUUUAGAAGAAAAAAAAUUUUUAACCAUCAAGAUGCGAUCUCUAUAAGGGAGCUAGCAUCCUGAUGAAAUCAAAAGGCUUCUAAUCAAAUCAGAAUCUCGUGUGGAUAUCCGUAAAUGCCGGAUGCUUGUGUAGCUAAA
Molecule: long non-coding RNA, 330 nt
Filed under: Elaeis guineensis (African oil palm)
Lineage: Eukaryota; Viridiplantae; Streptophyta; Magnoliopsida; Arecales; Arecaceae
Description: long non-coding RNA (EGUI_LNC034889)
Source: RNAcentral